This is an RNA transcript of Helianthus annuus (common sunflower), 1347 nucleotides long. It is a transcript of the gene named protein PELOTA 1, with no coding region annotated. The transcript is spliced from 16 exons. The record is from RefSeq and is a predicted model, not a curated record. NCBI's taxonomy places the organism in Eukaryota, Viridiplantae, Streptophyta, Magnoliopsida, Asterales, Asteraceae.
CAGGGCAUCGUUUGUGCUACAUAAGUUAAUUGCUGAGUAAAGGGUUUAAACCUAGAAAACUCGAAGACGCACAGUUGUUGUUUCCAUGAAGAUCGUUCGGAGAGAUUUCGUUCCCGACGGCCCCGGAAGCGUUAAGAUGAUUCCUGAUGAAGCAGAUGAUUUGUGGCUCGCUUAUAACCUAAUUGCUCCAGGUGAUACUGUCAUGGCUGUUACCAUCAGAAAAGUUCUUAGAGAAGCAGCUUCUGGAUCAAGAGAAGCAGAACGGGUGAAAUUGAAACUUGAAAUCAAAGUUGAGAAUGUUGAUUAUGACAAAGAAGGUGGUGUGCUAAGAGUUCGUGGGAAGAACAUCCUGGAAAAUGAGCAUGUAAAAAUAGGGCAAUUUCAUACACUUGAACUUGAAUUAAAAAGGGCUUUUGUGCUAAGAAAGGUGUUAUGGGACACACUAGCAAUAGAAGCACUUAAACAAGCCUCAGAUCCUUCUGCCAGUGCUGAUCUGGCAGUGGUGCUAAUGCAAGAAGGGUUGGCACAUAUUCUCCUUGUUGGUAAAAGUUUGACUAUUACACCUUCUCGGAUAGAAGCCUCAAUUCCUCGCAAGCAUGGACCUUCUGUUGCUGGUUAUGACAAAGCUUUGAAUAAAUUCUAUGAGAAUGUUUUACAGGCGUUUGUGAAGCAUAUUGACUUCAAGGUUGUUCGGUGUGCUGUUAUUGCAAGUCCAGGAUUCACAAAGGAUCAAUUUCAUCGCCAUUUAAUGUUGGAAGCAGAAAGAAGAGAUCUAAGGAACAUAAUUGAGAACAAAUCACGCAUCAUUCUUGUGCAUUCGACUUCAGGAUACAAACAUAGUUUGAGAGAAGUUCUCGAUGCUCCGAAUGUGAUGAAUAUGAUCAAAGAUACAAAAGCAGCCCAAGAGGUCCGAGCACUUAAGGAUUUCUACACCAUGCUUUCAAACGUCAGGAUCCACAUCGUGCAUGUUAUGGACCAAAGCAUGUUGAGGUUGCGCAUGAACGAAUGGCUGUUCAGACAUUACUUAUCACAGAUGAUCUUUUCAGGAGUUCUGAUGUAGCUACAAGGCAAAGAUACGUAAAUUUGGUCAACACAGUAAAGGACUCAGGGGGCUCGGUUCAUAUAUUUUCUUCAAUGCAUGUCUCAGGGGAGCAACUGGCACAACUGACUGGAGUCGCUGCAAUACUUCGUUUCCCCCUUCCGGACCUUGAUGACAUCGAGAUGUAAUUUAUGCUACAGAAAUUAAUUAAUCAGAGUGUUUUAUACUUAUGGAUUACUGAAUAUACCCAUAGUGUUUCUUAUAAUGUGUAACCUCUUCAUGAGUUAUAGACUUCCUUAUUAUGAUAA